RNAcentral lists this ribosomal RNA (492 nucleotides) under uncultured bacterium. Its description in RNAcentral is "partial 16S ribosomal RNA". It matches the Rfam family "Bacterial small subunit ribosomal RNA", at positions 29 to 507 of the family's 1533-position model. The record is from RNAcentral.
AGUGAACGCUGGCGGUAGGCCUAACACAUGCAAGUCGAACGGCAGCACAGUAAGAGCUUGCUCUUACGGGUGGCGAGUGGCGGACGGGUGAGGAAUACAUCGGAAUCUACUUUUUCGUGGGGGAUAACGUAGGGAAACUUACGCUAAUACCGCAUACGACCUACGGGUGAAAACAGGGGAUCUUCGGACCUUGCGCGAUUGAAUGAGCCGAUGUCGGAUUAGCUAGUUGGCGGGGUAAAGGCCCACCAAGGCGACGAUCCGUAGCUGGUCUGAGAGGAUGAUCAGCCACACUGGAACUGAGACACGGUCCAGACUCCUACGGGAGGCAGCAGUGGGGAAUAUUGGACAAUGGGCGCAAGCCUGAUCCAGCCAUACCGCGUGGGUGAAGAAGGCCUUCGGGUUGUAAAGCCCUUUUGUUGGGAAAGAAAAGCAGCAGGUUAAUACCCCGCUGUUCUGACGGUACCCAAAGAACAAGCACCGGCUAACUUCGUG